This 421-nucleotide ribosomal RNA is filed under the name uncultured bacterium. RNAcentral describes it as "bacterial SSU rRNA". It matches the Rfam family "Bacterial small subunit ribosomal RNA", at positions 355 to 774 of the family's 1533-position model. The record is from RNAcentral.
UAAGGAAUAUUGGUCAAUGGACGCAAGUCUGAACCAGCCAUGCCGCGUGAAGGAUGAAGGUCCUCUGGAUUGUAAACUUCUUUUAUCUGGGACGAAAACGGGAUUUUUAUCUCAAUUGACGGUACCAGAGGAAUAAGCACCGGCUAACUCCGUGCCAGCAGCCGCGGUAAUACGGAGGGUGCGAGCGUUAUCCGGAUUUACUGGGUUUAAAGGGUGCGUAGGUGGGCUUAUAAGUCAGUGGUGAAAUCUCCGAGCUUAACUUGGAAACGGCCGUUGAUACUAUAGCUCUUGAAUUAGCUGGAGGUAAGCGGAAUAUGUCAUGUAGCGGUGAAAUGCUUAGAUAUGACAUAGAACACCAAUUGCGAAGGCAGCUUACUACAUAUAAAUUGACGCUGAGGCACGAAAGCGUGGGGAUCAAACA